UUAAGCGACUAAGCGUACACGGUGGAUGCCCUGGCAGUCAGAGGCGAUGAAGGACGUGCUAAUCUGCGAUAAGCGUCGGUAAGGUGAUAUGAACCGUUAUAACCGGCGAUUUCCGAAUGGGGAAACCCAGUGUGAUUCGUCACACUAUCAUUAACUGAAUCCAUAGGUUAAUGAGGCGAACCGGGGGAACUGAAACAUCUAAGUACCCCGAGGAAAAGAAAUCAACCGAGAUUCCCCCAGUAGCGGCGAGCGAACGGGGAGCAGCCCAGAGCCUGAAUCAGUGUGUGUGUUAGUGGAAGCGUCUGGAAAGGCGCGCGAUACAGGGUGACAGCCCCGUACACAAAAAUGCACAUACUGUGAGCUCGAUGAGUAGGGCGGGACACGUGGUAUCCUGUCUGAAUAUGGGGGGACCAUCCUCCAAGGCUAAAUACUCCUGACUGACCGAUAGUGAACCAGUACCGUGAGGGAAAGGCGAAAAGAACCCCGGCGAGGGGAGUGAAAAAGAACCUGAAACCGUGUACGUACAAGCAGUGGGAGCCUCUUUAUGGGGUGACUGCGUACCUUUUGUAUAAUGGGUCAGCGACUUAUAUUCUGUAGCAAGGUUAACCGAAUAGGGGAGCCGAAGGGAAACCGAGUCUUAACUGGGCGUUAAGUUGCAGGGUAUAGACCCGAAACCCGGUGAUCUAGCCAUGGGCAGGUUGAAGGUUGGGUAACACUAACUGGAGGACCGAACCGACUAAUGUUGAAAAAUUAGCGGAUGACUUGUGGCUGGGGGUGAAAGGCCAAUCAAACCGGGAGAUAGCUGGUUCUCCCCGAAAGCUAUUUAGGUAGCGCCUCGUGAAUUCAUCUCCGGGGGUAGAGCACUGUUUCGGCAAGGGGGUCAUCCCGACUUACCAACCCGAUGCAAACUGCGAAUACCGGAGAAUGUUAUCACGGGAGACACACGGCGGGUGCUAACGUCCGUCGUGAAGAGGGAAACAACCCAGACCGCCAGCUAAGGUCCCAAAGUCAUGGUUAAGUGGGAAACGAUGUGGGAAGGCCCAGACAGCCAGGAUGUUGGCUUAGAAGCAGCCAUCAUUUAAAGAAAGCGUAAUAGCUCACUGGUCGAGUCGGCCUGCGCGGAAGAUGUAACGGGGCUAAACCAUGCACCGAAGCUGCGGCAGCGACACUAUGUGUUGUUGGGUAGGGGAGCGUUCUGUAAGCCUGUGAAGGUGUGCUGUGAGGCAUGCUGGAGGUAUCAGAAGUGCGAAUGCUGACAUAAGUAACGAUAAAGCGGGUGAAAAGCCCGCUCGCCGGAAGACCAAGGGUUCCUGUCCAACGUUAAUCGGGGCAGGGUGAGUCGACCCCUAAGGCGAGGCCGAAAGGCGUAGUCGAUGGGAAACAGGUUAAUAUUCCUGUACUUGGUGUUACUGCGAAGGGGGGACGGAGAAGGCUAUGUUGGCCGGGCGACGGUUGUCCCGGUUUAAGCGUGUAGGCUGGUUUUCCAGGCAAAUCCGGAAAAUCAAGGCUGAGGCGUGAUGACGAGGCACUACGGUGCUGAAGCAACAAAUGCCCUGCUUCCAGGAAAAGCCUCUAAGCAUCAGGUAACAUCAAAUCGUACCCCAAACCGACACAGGUGGUCAGGUAGAGAAUACCAAGGCGCUUGAGAGAACUCGGGUGAAGGAACUAGGCAAAAUGGUGCCGUAACUUCGGGAGAAGGCACGCUGAUAUGUAGGUGAAGCGACUUGCUCGUGGAGCUGAAAUCAGUCGAAGAUACCAGCUGGCUGCAACUGUUUAUUAAAAACACAGCACUGUGCAAACACGAAAGUGGACGUAUACGGUGUGACGCCUGCCCGGUGCCGGAAGGUUAAUUGAUGGGGUUAGCGGUAACGCGAAGCUCUUGAUCGAAGCCCCGGUAAACGGCGGCCGUAACUAUAACGGUCCUAAGGUAGCGAAAUUCCUUGUCGGGUAAGUUCCGACCUGCACGAAUGGCGUAAUGAUGGCCAGGCUGUCUCCACCCGAGACUCAGUGAAAUUGAACUCGCUGUGAAGAUGCAGUGUACCCGCGGCAAGACGGAAAGACCCCGUGAACCUUUACUAUAGCUUGACACUGAACAUUGAGCCUUGAUGUGUAGGAUAGGUGGGAGGCUUUGAAGUGUGGACGCCAGUCUGCAUGGAGCCGACCUUGAAAUACCACCCUUUAAUGUUUGAUGUUCUAACGUUGGCCCCUGAUCGGGGUUGCGGACAGUGUCUGGUGGGUAGUUUGACUGGGGCGGUCUCCUCCUAAAGAGUAACGGAGGAGCACGAAGGUUGGCUAAUCCUGGUCGGACAUCAGGAGGUUAGUGCAAUGGCAUAAGCCAGCUUGACUGCGAGCGUGACGGCGCGAGCAGGUGCGAAAGCAGGUCAUAGUGAUCCGGUGGUUCUGAAUGGAAGGGCCAUCGCUCAACGGAUAAAAGGUACUCCGGGGAUAACAGGCUGAUACCGCCCAAGAGUUCAUAUCGACGGCGGUGUUUGGCACCUCGAUGUCGGCUCAUCACAUCCUGGGGCUGAAGUAGGUCCCAAGGGUAUGGCUGUUCGCCAUUUAAAGUGGUACGCGAGCUGGGUUUAGAACGUCGUGAGACAGUUCGGUCCCUAUCUGCCGUGGGCGCUGGAGAACUGAGGGGGGCUGCUCCUAGUACGAGAGGACCGGAGUGGACGCAUCACUGGUGUUCGGGUUGUCAUGCCAAUGGCACUGCCCGGUAGCUAAAUGCGGAAGAGAUAAGUGCUGAAAGCAUCUAAGCACGAAACUUGCCCCGAGAUGAGUUCUCCCUGACCCUUUAAGGGUCCUGAAGGAACGUUGAAGACGACGACGUUGAUAGGCCGGGUGUGUAAGCGCAGCGAUGCGUUGAGCUAACCGGUACUAAUGAACCGUGAGGCUUAACCUU
This 2902-nucleotide ribosomal RNA is filed under the name Escherichia coli TA124. Its description in RNAcentral is "bacterial LSU rRNA". It matches the Rfam family "Bacterial large subunit ribosomal RNA". The record is from RNAcentral. Lineage: Bacteria; Pseudomonadati; Pseudomonadota; Gammaproteobacteria; Enterobacterales; Enterobacteriaceae.